Molecule: ribosomal RNA, 333 nt
Filed under: uncultured bacterium
Lineage: Bacteria
Description: bacterial SSU rRNA
Rfam family: Bacterial small subunit ribosomal RNA
Source: RNAcentral
CGUGUAGGCGGUAAUGUAAGUCAGACGUGAAAUCCUUUGGCUCAACUGAAGAACUAGCGGUCUGAAACUGCAUGACUAGAGUGCAGAAGAGGGAAACGGAAUUCCUGGUGUAGAGGUGAAAUUCGUAGAUAUCAGGAGGAACACCGGUGGCGAAGGCGGUUUCCUGGUCUGACACUGACGCUGAGGCGCGAAAGCGUGGGGAGCAAACAGGAUUAGAUACCCUGGUAGUCCACGCCGUAAACGGUGGGUACUGGGUGUGGGAGGUGUAAUGCCUUCUGUGCCGAAGCUAACGCGUUAAGUACCCCGCCUGGGGAGUACGGCCGCAAGGUUGAA